ACAGCUCAGUUGGUUAGAGUGUGGUGCUGGCAACGCCAAGGUUGCAGGUUCGAUCCCCGGUAAGAGACA
Podarcis lilfordi (Lilford's wall lizard) is the source of this 69-nucleotide non-coding RNA. The record is from the annotation of a GenBank genome assembly. Lineage: Eukaryota; Metazoa; Chordata; Lepidosauria; Squamata; Lacertidae.